AGCAGUAGCCGCGGUAAUACGGAGGGUGCAAGCGUUAAUCGGAAUUACUGGGCGUAAAGCGCACGCAGGCGGUCUGACAAGUCAGAUGUGAAAUCCCCGGGCUUAACCUGGGAACUGCAUUUGAAACUGUCAGGCUGGAGUCUUGUAGAGGGGGGUGGAAUUCCAGGUGUAGCGGUGAAAUGCGUAGAGAUCUGGAGGAAUACCGGUGGCGAAGGCGGCCCCCUGGACAAAGACUGACGCUCAGGUGCGAAAGCGUGGGGAGCAAACAGGAUUAGAGACCCCGCGUAGUCCCUGUCUCUUAUA
RNAcentral lists this ribosomal RNA (303 nucleotides) under uncultured bacterium. Its description in RNAcentral is "partial 16S ribosomal RNA". It matches the Rfam family "Bacterial small subunit ribosomal RNA", at positions 507 to 808 of the family's 1533-position model. The record is from RNAcentral.